Molecule: transfer RNA, 72 nt
Filed under: Marmota marmota marmota (Alpine marmot)
Lineage: Eukaryota; Metazoa; Chordata; Mammalia; Rodentia; Sciuridae
Also listed under: 1 other name
Rfam family: tRNA
About the family: Transfer RNA (tRNA) molecules are approximately 80 nucleotides in length. Their secondary structure includes four short double-helical elements and three loops (D, anti-codon, and T loops).
Source: Rfam by way of RNAcentral
GGUGGUGUAGCUCAGUGGUAGAGCACUUGCCCAGCUUGCACAAGGCCCUGGGUUCAACCCCCAGCACCACAA